UGGGGAAUAUUGCACAAUGGGCGAAAGCCUGAUGCAGCGACGCCGCGUGAGGGAAGAAGGUUUUCGGAUUGUAAACCUCUGUCCUCAGGGAAGAAAAUGACGGUACCUGAGGAGGAAGCCACGGCUAACUACGUGCCAGCAGCCGCGGUAAUACGUAGGUGGCAAGCGUUGUCCGGAAUUACUGGGUGUAAAGGGAGCGUAGGCGGGUAAGCAAGUUGAAUGUUAAAACUAUGGGCUUAACUCAUAGUCGCGUUCAAAACUGUUUAUCUUGAGUGAAGUAGAGGCAGGCGGAAUUCCUAGUGUAGCGGUGAAAUGCGUAAAUAUUAGGAGGAACACCAGUGGCGAAGGCGGUCUGCUGGGCUUUAACUGACGCUGAGGCUCGAAAGCGUGGGUAGCAAACA
The sequence is a ribosomal RNA, 401 nucleotides long. It matches the Rfam family "Bacterial small subunit ribosomal RNA", at positions 355 to 774 of the family's 1533-position model.